UCCCUGGUGGCUCAGUGGUAAAGAAUCUGCCUGCAGUGCAGGAGACGCGGGUUUAAUUCUUGAUCCGGGAA
Molecule: transfer RNA, 71 nt
Filed under: Bos taurus (domestic cattle)
Lineage: Eukaryota; Metazoa; Chordata; Mammalia; Artiodactyla; Bovidae
Also listed under: 4 other names
Rfam family: tRNA
About the family: Transfer RNA (tRNA) molecules are approximately 80 nucleotides in length. Their secondary structure includes four short double-helical elements and three loops (D, anti-codon, and T loops).
Source: Rfam by way of RNAcentral